GUGAGGAAUAUUGGUCAAUGGGCGGGAGCCUGAACCAGCCAAGUCGCGUGAAGGAAGAAGGAUCUAUGGUUCGUAAACUUCUUUUGCAGGGGAAUAAAGUGCGGGACGUGUCCUGUUUUGUAUGUACCCUGAGAAUAAGGAUCGGCUAACUCCGUGCCAGCAGCCGCGGUAAUACGGAGGAUCCGAGCGUUAUCCGGAUUUAUUGGGUUUAAAUGGUGCGUAGGUGGUUUGAUAAGUCAGCGGUGAAAGUUUGCAGCUUAACUGUAGAAAUGCCGGUGAAACUGUCGGACUUGAGUGUAAAUGAGGUAGGCGGAAUGCGUGGUGUAGCGGUGAAAUGCAUAGAUAUCACGCAGAACUCCGAUUGCGAAGGCAGCUUACUAAGCUACAACUGACACUGAAGCACGAAAGCGUGGGGAUCAAACAGGAUUAGAAACCCGGGUAGUCC
RNAcentral lists this ribosomal RNA (445 nucleotides) under uncultured bacterium. RNAcentral describes it as "partial 16S ribosomal RNA". It matches the Rfam family "Bacterial small subunit ribosomal RNA", at positions 354 to 796 of the family's 1533-position model. The record is from RNAcentral.